This 253-nucleotide ribosomal RNA is filed under the name uncultured bacterium. RNAcentral describes it as "partial 16S ribosomal RNA". It matches the Rfam family "Bacterial small subunit ribosomal RNA", at positions 524 to 776 of the family's 1533-position model. The record is from RNAcentral.
UACGUAGGGUGCAAGCGUUAAUCGGAAUGACUUGGCGUAAAGGGUGUGUAGGCGGUUUGUUAAGUCUGAUGUGAAAUCCCCGGGCUCAACCUGGGAACUGCGUUGGAAACUGGCAAACUAGAGUACGGAAGAGGGGGGUGGAAUUCCACGUGUAGCGGUGAAAUGCGCAGAUAUCAGGAAGAACACCCGUGGCGAAGGCGGCUCUCUGGGACGGUACUGACGCUGAGACGCGAAAGCGUGGGGAGCGAACAGG